RNAcentral lists this ribosomal RNA (470 nucleotides) under alpha proteobacterium Md 244. RNAcentral describes it as "bacterial SSU rRNA". It matches the Rfam family "Bacterial small subunit ribosomal RNA", at positions 8 to 524 of the family's 1533-position model. Lineage: Bacteria; Pseudomonadati; Pseudomonadota; Alphaproteobacteria. The record is from RNAcentral.
AGAGUUUGAUCCUGGCUCAGAACGAACGCUGGCGGCAGGCCUAACACAUGCAAGUCGAGCGAGACCUUCGGGUCUAGCGGCGGACGGGUUAGUAACGCGUGGGAACGUGCCCUUCUCUGCGGAAUAGCCACUGGAAACGGUGAGUAAUACCGCAUACGCCCUUCGGGGGAAAGAUUUAUCGGAGAAGGAUCGGCCCGCGUUAGAUUAGAUAGUUGGUGGGGUAACGGCCUACCAAGUCUACGAUCUAUAGCUGGUUUUAGAGGAUGAUCAGCAACACUGGGACUGAGACACGGCCCAGACUCCUACGGGAGGCAGCAGUGGGGAAUCUUAGACAAUGGGCGCAAGCCUGAUCUAGCCAUGCCGCGUGUGUGAUGAAGGUCUUAGGAUCGUAAAGCACUUUCGCCAGGGAUGAUAAUGACAGUACCUGGUAAAGAAACCCCGGCUAACUCCGUGCCAGCAGCCGCGGUAAU